RNAcentral lists this ribosomal RNA (492 nucleotides) under uncultured bacterium. Its description in RNAcentral is "partial 16S ribosomal RNA". It matches the Rfam family "Bacterial small subunit ribosomal RNA", at positions 29 to 507 of the family's 1533-position model. The record is from RNAcentral.
AGUGAACGCUGGCGGUAGGCCUAACACAUGCAAGUCGAACGGCAGCACAGUAAGAGCUUGCUCUUACGGGUGGCGAGUGGCGGACGGGUGAGGAAUACAUCGGAAUCUACUUUUUCGUGGGGGAUAACGUAGGGAAACUUACGCUAAUACCGCAUACGACCUACGGGUGAAAGCAGGGGAUCUUCGGACCUCGCGCGAUUGAAUGAGCCGAUGUCGGAUUAGCUAGUUGGCGGGGUAAAGGCCCACCAAGGCGACGAUCCGUAGCUGGUCUGAGAGGAUGAUCAGCCACACUGGAACUGAGACACGGCCCAGACUCCUACGGGAGGCAGCAGUGGGGAAUAUUGGACAAUGGGCGCAAGCCUGAUCCAGCCAUACCGCGUGGGUGAAGAAGGCCUUCGGGUUGUAAAGCCCUUUUGUUGGGAAAGAAAAGCAGCAGGUUAAUACCCCGCUGUUCUGACGGUACCCAAAGAAUAAGCACCGGCUAACUUCGUG